GUAUCGUAUUGGGAGGAGGAAGUAACUGUUGAGAGUUUGUCGUAAAUAUGGAAAAUUUAUUAUACAACACCGAGUCACUGCUUCAAAAUGUUUCUCCACAACUUAAUGUCGUCCUCCUCUCUGGAAAGGAUAUAGUAGCAGUGUUUCAACUUUAAGCAUGUGCGUCACUCCUUCGUCUUCUUGUUGGACCUUGGAAAGGACCUGUGGUGCUUCAAAAGCCCAGAAUAUUUCUUCGUGACAUUUACCAUGGGAUUCGACGAUUGUUAUUCGAUGGCGUUGGUUUCACCAGCUGGAUUCGCCGGGCCACAACAUCGACGACGACGACGACGACGACGACGACGACGUUCUUCGCAUCUAAUCGGACCGACUUACCCAGACCAACUCGAUCGCUGGUAGCUUCGCGAUGAAUCCAAAAAGACACCCAACUCAGGACUACUAUCAAAACACA
Molecule: long non-coding RNA, 448 nt
Organism: Bombus huntii
Lineage: Eukaryota; Metazoa; Arthropoda; Insecta; Hymenoptera; Apidae
Exons: 5
Source: RefSeq, a predicted model, not a curated record